GAUCAUGGCUCAGGACGAACGCUGGCGGCGUGCUUAACACAUGCAAGUCGAACGAUGAACCUGGAGCUUGCUCUGGGGGAUUAGUGGCGAACGGGUGAGCAACACGUGAGUAACCUGCCCUGGACUCUGGGAUAACCCCGAGAAAUCGGAGCUAAUACCGGAUAGGACCUGGAACCGCAUGGUUUUGGGUGGAAAGUUUUUUCGGUCUGGGAUGGACUCGCGGCCUAUCAGCUUGUUGGUGAGGUAAUGGCUCACCAAGGCGUCGACGGGUAGCCGGCCUGAGAGGGUGACCGGCCACACUGGGACUGAGACACGGCCCAGACUCCUACGGGAGGCAGCAGUGGGGAAUAUUGCACAAUGGGCGAAAGCCUGAUGCAGCAACGCCGCGUGAGGGAUGACGGCCUUCGGGUUGUAAACCUCUUUUAGUAGGGAAGAAGGGCUUCGGCUUGACGGUACCUGCAGAAAAAGCACCGGCUAACUACGUGCCAGCAGCCGCGGUAAUACGUAGGGUGCGAGCGUUGUCCGGAAUUAUUGGGCGUAAAGAGCUCGUAGGCGGUUUGUCACGUCUGCUGUGAAAUCCCGAGGCUCAACCUCGGGCCUGCAGUGGGUACGGGCAGACUGGAGUGCGGUAGGGGAGAUUGGAAUUCCUGGUGUAGCGGUGGAAUGCGCAGAUAUCAGGAGGAACACCGAUGGCGAAGGCAGAUCUCUGGGCCGUAACUGACGCUGAGGAGCGAAAGCGUGGGGAGCGAACAGGAUUAGAUGCCCUGGUAGUCCACGCCGUAAACGUUGGGCGCUAGAUGUGGGGACCAUUCCACGGUUUCCGUGUCGUAGCUAACGCAUUAAGCGCCCCGCCUGGGGAGUACGGCCGCAAGGCUAAAACUCAAAUGAAUUGACGGGG
This 898-nucleotide ribosomal RNA is filed under the name uncultured Agromyces sp. Its description in RNAcentral is "bacterial SSU rRNA". It matches the Rfam family "Bacterial small subunit ribosomal RNA", at positions 15 to 918 of the family's 1533-position model. The record is from RNAcentral. Lineage: Bacteria; Bacillati; Actinomycetota; Actinomycetes; Micrococcales; Microbacteriaceae.